Long non-coding RNA from Chiroxiphia lanceolata (lance-tailed manakin), 251 nucleotides. RefSeq lists it as uncharacterized. NCBI's taxonomy places the organism in Eukaryota, Metazoa, Chordata, Aves, Passeriformes, Pipridae. The transcript has 3 exons. The record is from RefSeq and is a predicted model, not a curated record.
UGUGGGUUUGGACAUCACUGCCUGAAAAGUACUCAACCAACUGUGGGAAGUCCAGGAGGAAGCAAAGAGAGACCUGAGAGCUCAAACAACCCUCAAGAAAGGAGGAAAGAUCGCUGAGGAUGACAAAGGUCUUUUUGCAGACAAAUGCGUCCUGUGGGGGAUCCUGAGGUGUGUUUGCAGGUGGACUUGUGGACCUCCUGCCGUGUCUGAGUUUCCCAUGGUGUAUCACUGGCAUUUGCUGGCUCAUGUGG